This 78-nucleotide transfer RNA is filed under the name Lentisphaerota bacterium. Its description in RNAcentral is "Lentisphaerae bacterium (anaerobic digester metagenome) tRNA-Pro". It matches the Rfam family "tRNA". Rfam says of the family: Transfer RNA (tRNA) molecules are approximately 80 nucleotides in length. Their secondary structure includes four short double-helical elements and three loops (D, anti-codon, and T loops). Lineage: Bacteria; Pseudomonadati; Lentisphaerota. RNAcentral also lists the same sequence under 1 other name. The record is from RNAcentral.
CGGGAUGUGGCGCAGCCUGGAUAGCGCGUUUGACUGGGGGUCAAAAGGCCGUGAGUUCAAAUCUCACCAUCCCGACCA